UGUGUAUCAGUACAUGGCAUAUCAAUAAGCGGAGGAAAAGAAACUAACUAGGAUUCCCUCAGUAACGGCGAGUGAAGCGGGAAGAGCUCAAAUUUGAAAUCUUCAAGGUUCUACCUUGACGAAUUGUAGUUUAAAGAAGUGUUUUCUGUUGGAGUUUUGGUAAAAGUUCUUUGGAAUAGGACAUCAUAGAGGGUGAGAAUCCCGUAUUUGACCAUUAUUUCCAGCUGUGUGAUACACUUUCAAAGAGUCGGAUUGUUUGGGAAUGCAGUCCAAAAUGGGUGGUAAAUUUCAUCUAAAGCUAAAUAUUGGCGAGAGACCGAUAGCGAACAAGUACCGUGAGGGAAAGAUGAAAAGAACUUUGAAAAGAGAGUUAAACAGUACGUGAAAUUGUCAAAAGGGAAGCGUUUGACACCAGUGUUGUUUUCUCGAAAAUCAAUUAAAAAUGAUGGGAUUUUGUGUUGUAUUGACUUUAUCAGCUUUCUGCACUUUUUUCUUAUCUUUUUUAAUGCACUUUUCGUUUAACAAGUCAACAUCAAUUUCUUUUGUUGUAAAAGAGUCAUUGGAAGGUGGCUUUUUCUUCGGAAAAAGUGUUUAUAGCCUUUGGCUUCUGCAAUCGGAGAGAUUGAGGUCUGCAGCGUAGAUCCUUCGGGGUUAGAUACAUUUGUGCUAAGCUAUAGUUCUUUAUAGACAACUUGUUGACUAUAAUCAAUCCUGUAACUUACUCGCUUAUGCUAUUUUACCUACGCUUAGGAUGUUGACAGCAGUAUAGACUG
This 773-nucleotide ribosomal RNA is filed under the name uncultured Neocallimastigales. Its description in RNAcentral is "partial large subunit ribosomal RNA". The stretch from base 7 to 693 matches the Rfam family "Eukaryotic large subunit ribosomal RNA", at positions 24 to 664 of the family's 3401-position model. The record is from RNAcentral. Lineage: Eukaryota; Fungi; Neocallimastigomycota; Neocallimastigomycetes; Neocallimastigales.